CCGCGGAGUCGGUGCCGGAGCGUCGUAAAAAGAGCCGCAACCCGAAGGGGCGGGGGAACUGUGCGCUGAUGCUCAGAGCAUGCGCAGAUUCUCCGGUGAGACGCUUGUGGACUUGGAGCUGCUCGGGGUUUUAGAAUUAGUUCCCCAGGCAGCCUGUGAAGGGCCUUCCCUGGUCCUUCUACGCAGUAUGAGUUUUCAAACUAGGGGUGGAGACCUCAAGAACAUCUCAAGUGGAUGAAAGGUUAUCUUCUAAGGACUGAAGCUUCACCAGAGCAGGAAGAAGAAUUACACAGCCACUGGAGCCAUAGUAUCUACCGACGCUGGAGGCGGGCGGCCAGAGCAGGGCUCCCGUGCUGCAGCCUCUCUUUCCCCCAGACGCCCCGGAGAUUUCAUCUUAAUUAACCAUGAGAGCUAUAACA
This is a long non-coding RNA of Suricata suricatta (meerkat), 419 nucleotides long. RefSeq lists it as uncharacterized. The transcript is spliced from 3 exons. NCBI's taxonomy places the organism in Eukaryota, Metazoa, Chordata, Mammalia, Carnivora, Herpestidae. The record is from RefSeq and is a predicted model, not a curated record.